GAUGAACGCUAGCUACAGGCUUAACACAUGCAAGUCGAGGGGAAACGAUAGAGAAAGCUUGCUUUUUCUAGGCGUCGACCGGCGCACGGGUGAGUAACGCGUAUCCAACCUGCCCACCACUUGGGGAUAACCUUGCGAAAGUAAGACUAAUACCCAAUGAUAUCCCAAGAACACAUCCGAAUGAGACUAAAGAUUUAUCGGUGAUGGAUGGGGAUGCGUCUGAUUAGCUUGUUGGCGGGGUAACGGCCAACCACGGCGACGAUCAGUAGGGGUUCUGAGAGGAAGGUACCCCACAUUGGAGCUGAGACACGGUCCAAACUCCUACGGGAGGCAGCAGUGAGGAAUAUUGGUCAAUGGGCGAGAGCCUGAACCAGCCAAGUAGCGUGCAGGAUGACGGCCCUAUGGGUUGUAAACUGCUUUUAUAAGGGAAUAAAGUGAGUCUCGUGAGGCUUUUUGCAUGUACCUUAUGAAUAAGGACCGGCUAAUUCCGUGCCAGCCGCCGCAGUAA
Molecule: ribosomal RNA, 508 nt
Filed under: uncultured bacterium
Lineage: Bacteria
Description: partial 16S ribosomal RNA
Rfam family: Bacterial small subunit ribosomal RNA
Source: RNAcentral